RNAcentral lists this ribosomal RNA (507 nucleotides) under Dialister invisus. RNAcentral describes it as "bacterial SSU rRNA". It matches the Rfam family "Bacterial small subunit ribosomal RNA", at positions 28 to 500 of the family's 1533-position model. The record is from RNAcentral. Lineage: Bacteria; Bacillati; Bacillota; Negativicutes; Veillonellales; Veillonellaceae.
GACGAACGCUGGCGGCGUGCUUAACACAUGCAAGUCGAACGAAAAGAGGGAAAGAGCUUGCUCUUUCCGGAAUUGAGUGGCAAACGGGUGAGUAACACGUAAACAACCUGCCUUCAGGAUGGGGAUAACAGACGGAAACGACUGCUAAUACCGAAUAAGUUCCAAGAGCCGCAUGGCCCAUGGAAGAAAAGGUGGCCUCUACCUGUAAGCUAUCGCCUGAAGAGGGGUUUGCGUCUGAUUAGCCGGUUGGAGGGGUAACGGCCCACCAAGGCGACGAACAGUAGCCGGUCUGAGAGGAUGAACGGCCACACUGGAACUGAGACACGGUCCAGACUCCUACGGGAGGCAGCAGUGGGGAAUCUUCCGCAAUGGGCGAAAGCCUGACGGAGCAACGCCGCGUGAGUGAUGACGGCCUUCGGGUUGUAAAACUCUGUGAUCCGGGACGAAAAGGCAGAGUGCGAAGGACAAACUGCAUUGACGGUACCGGAAAAGCAAGCCACGGGCUAA